This 171-nucleotide unclassified non-coding RNA is filed under the name uncultured Talaromyces. RNAcentral's name for it is "sequence contains ITS2". Lineage: Eukaryota; Fungi; Ascomycota; Eurotiomycetes; Eurotiales; Trichocomaceae. The record is from RNAcentral.
CUGCCCUCCAGCACGGCUGGGUGUUGGGCGCUGUCCCCCCGGGGACACGCCCCAAAAGCAGUGGCGGCGCCGCGUCGGGUCCUCGAGCGUAUGGGGCUUUGUCACCCGCUCGGGAGGGACUCGGUCGGCGCUGGUCUUCCUCCAGGCGACCCUUCGGGGUUCGCCUCUUCC